RNAcentral lists this ribosomal RNA (1235 nucleotides) under metagenome. RNAcentral describes it as "bacterial LSU rRNA". It matches the Rfam family "Bacterial large subunit ribosomal RNA", at positions 1564 to 2808 of the family's 2925-position model. The record is from RNAcentral.
UGAGUACGAGAUGCUACGGCAUCGAAGCAGUCUAUGUCAUACUUCCAAGAAAAGCUUGCAAUGUCAUAAACAAAUAAUGCCUGUACCAUAACCGACACAGGUGGGUAGGUAGAGUAUACUAAGGGGCGCGAGAUAACUCUCUCUAAGGAACUCGGCAAAAUGACUCCGUAACUUCGGGAGAAGGAGUGCCUUAUUUUUAUAAGGUUGCAAUAACAAGAUCCAAGCAACUGUUUACCAAAAACACAGGUCUCCGCUAAGUCGUAAGACGAUGUAUGGGGGCUGACGCCUGCCCAGUGCCAGAAGGUUAAAGAAGUUGGUUAGCAUUAGCGAAGCUGAUAACUGAAGCCCUGGUGAACGGCGGCCGUAACAAUAACGGUCCUAAGGUAGCGAAAUUCCUUGUCGGGUAAGUUCCGACCCGCACGAAAGGCGUAAUGAUUUGGAUACUGUCUCGGAGAGGGGCUCGGUGAAAUAGACUUGUCUGUGAAGAUGCGGACUACCUGCACCUGGACAGAAAGACCCUAUGAAGCUUUACUGUAACUUGAGAUUGAAAUUGGACUUUAUCUGCGCAGUAUAGGUGGGAGACGUUGAAAAUAUUCUUGCGGGAAUAUUGGAGUCAUCAGUGAGAUACCACUCUUAUAAUGUUAGAUUUCUAACUUUGUAUCAUUAUCUGUCAAAGAACAGUUUCAGGCGGGCAGUUUGACUGGGGCGGUCGCCUCCCAAACGGUAACGGAGGCGCACAAAGGUUUCCUCUGAACGUGUAGAAAUCGUAUCUAGAGUGUAAAGGCAUAAGGAAGCUUGACUGUGAGACCUACAAGUCGAGCAGGGACGAAAGUCGGUCUUAGUGAUCUGACGGUGCUGAGUGGAAAGGCCGUCACUCAACGGAUAAAAGUUACUCUAGGAUAACAGGCUGAUCUCCCCCAAGAGUUCACAUCGACGGGGAGGUUUGGCACCUCGAUGUCGGCUCAUCGCAUCCUGGGGCGGUAGUACGUCCCAAGGGUUGGGCUGUUCGCCCAUGAAAGCGGUACGCGAGCUGGGUUCAGAACGUCGUGAGACAGUUCGGUCCAUAUCCGGUGUAGGCGUUAGAAUAUUGAGAGGAGCCUUCUUUAGUACGAGAGGACCGAGAAGGACAUACCUCUGGUGUACCAGUUAUCGUGCCAACGGUAAACGCUGGGUAGCCAUGUAUGGAGAGGAUAACCGCUGAAAGCAUCUAAGUGGGAAGCCCACCUCAAGAUAAG